GACGAACGCUGGCGGCGUGCUUAACACAUGCAAGUCGAACGGAAAGGCCCUGCUUUUGUGGGGUGCUCGAGUGGCGAACGGGUGAGUAACACGUGAGUAACCUGCCCUUGACUUUGGGAUAACUUCAGGAAACUGGGGCUAAUACCGGAUAGGAGCUCCUGCUGCAUGGUGGGGGUUGGAAAGUUUCGGCGGUUGGGGAUGGACUCGCGGCUUAUCGGCUUGUUGGUGGGGUAGUGGCUUACCAAGGCUUUGACGGGUAGCCGGCAUGAGAGGGUGACCGGCCACAUUAGGACUGAGAUACGGCCCAGACUCCUACGGGAGGCAGCAGUGGAGAGUAUUACACAGUGGGCGGACGCGUGAUGCAACAACCCCGCGUGCGGGAUGACGUCCUUCGGGUUGUAAACCGCUUUCGCCUGUGACGAAGCGUGAGUGACGGUAAUGGGUAAAGAAGCACCGGCUAACUACGUG
RNAcentral lists this ribosomal RNA (468 nucleotides) under uncultured bacterium. RNAcentral describes it as "partial 16S ribosomal RNA". It matches the Rfam family "Bacterial small subunit ribosomal RNA", at positions 28 to 507 of the family's 1533-position model. The record is from RNAcentral.